GCGUUCUUAACUCAGUUGGUAGAGUGUCACUAUGACAUAGUGAAAGUCAGAGGUUCAAAUCCUCUAGAACGCA
RNAcentral lists this transfer RNA (73 nucleotides) under Enterobacteriaceae endosymbiont of Donacia cincticornis. Its description in RNAcentral is "tRNA-Val". It matches the Rfam family "tRNA". Rfam says of the family: Transfer RNA (tRNA) molecules are approximately 80 nucleotides in length. Their secondary structure includes four short double-helical elements and three loops (D, anti-codon, and T loops). Further hydrogen bonds mediate the characteristic L-shaped molecular structure. tRNAs have two regions of fundamental functional importance: the anti-codon, which is responsible for specific mRNA codon recognition, and the 3' end, to which the tRNAs corresponding amino acid is attached (by aminoacyl-tRNA synthetases). tRNAs cope with the degeneracy of the genetic code in two manners: having more than one tRNA (with a specific anti-codon) for a particular amino acid; and 'wobble' base-pairing, i.e. permitting non-standard base-pairing at the 3rd anti-codon position. Lineage: Bacteria; Pseudomonadati; Pseudomonadota; Gammaproteobacteria; Enterobacterales; Enterobacteriaceae. The record is from RNAcentral. RNAcentral also lists the same sequence under 1 other name.